RNAcentral lists this ribosomal RNA (429 nucleotides) under Gemmatimonadota bacterium. Its description in RNAcentral is "Gemmatimonadetes bacterium partial 16S ribosomal RNA". It matches the Rfam family "Bacterial small subunit ribosomal RNA", at positions 355 to 776 of the family's 1533-position model. Lineage: Bacteria; Pseudomonadati; Gemmatimonadota. The record is from RNAcentral.
UAGGGAAUCUUCGGCAAUGGACGAAAGUCUGACCGAGCAACGCCGCGUGAGUGAAGAAGGUUUUCGGAUCGUAAACCUCUGUUGUUAGAGAAGAACAAGGACGUUAGUAACUGAACGUCCCCUGACGGUAUCUAACCAGAAAGCCACGGCUAACUACGUGCCAGCAGCCGCGGUAAUACGUAGGUGGCAAUCGUUGUCCGGAUUUAUUGGGCGUAAAGCGAGCGCAGGCGGUUUCUUAAGUCUGAUGUGAAAGCCCCCGGCUCAACCGGGGAGGGUCAUUGGAAACUGGGAGACUUGAGUGCAGAAGAGGAGAGUGGAAUUCCAUGUGUAGCGGUGAAAUGCGUAGAUAUAUGGAGGAACACCAGUGGAGAAGGCGGCUCUCUGGUCUGUAACUGACGCUGAGGCUCGAAAGCGUGGGGAGCAAACAGG